Brassica oleracea var. oleracea is the source of this 289-nucleotide long non-coding RNA. RefSeq lists it as uncharacterized. The transcript is spliced from 3 exons. Lineage: Eukaryota; Viridiplantae; Streptophyta; Magnoliopsida; Brassicales; Brassicaceae. The record is from RefSeq and is a predicted model, not a curated record.
GCAAAGCACUUUUUGAUUCUCAACGUGAUGGUUCAGAGAAGAGAGGCAAGUAUGAUGCUAAGGAACUCGUCUUUACUGGCCGCCGACGAAGGAGAAGGAUGAAUAAAAAAAGGGGUAGACGACAGGGGUCAAAGAAACAAAUUUCACCUGAGAUUCAGAAGAGGAUGACUGAGGCUAUUUUUCUUCACGCAGAUAAUAAAGACAGUGAGGCUUUUCCUAUUUUAUUUGACAUUAUUAACGAAGCACCAGCCUUCGGUCAAGCUUAUUAUUACCUAGCACUUGUACCUGA